This is a long non-coding RNA of Pan troglodytes (chimpanzee), 1671 nucleotides long. RefSeq lists it as uncharacterized. The transcript is spliced from 3 exons. NCBI's taxonomy places the organism in Eukaryota, Metazoa, Chordata, Mammalia, Primates, Hominidae. The record is from RefSeq and is a predicted model, not a curated record.
GAUUCUGACCUCUACCACCACCACCAACACCACCAUCCAUCAAAACUAUCCCUUAAUGGUGUUCUUCCCUGUCACAUCUCUUCAGUUUACCAAAGAGAAAAAGAAAAAUCCCUAACCACGUGCUACCUUGAUUGGAUGUUGUGUCGUUUAUGUAAGGCAGGUUACCAAUUUGGCAAGGACAUUUAAAUUUAUCGUCUGACUUCUGCAGUACUGUGCCACGCAUUCCUAAGGCUUGUAUGAUAACUGGUACUUCAACAAAGAGAAACUUGUGAGGCUGAUUCAAUCACUCAUUUUUUUCUCAUGCAAAUAACUGUUUUUGUUUUUAAAGAGUUUAUUGCUAUUCUCAUUGAAGUUGCUUUUUAAUAAAAGGAUGUACAGUAAUGCAUGAUCUUUUAUUUAAUAGCCACCAACAAACUUCAGAAUGUAUUUUAAAAAGAGGGGGACAAUAUAAUAUUGAUUUUAAUGAUAGUAAUUAUUUGGAGAAGAAAUUCUGAAUUUAGCAGUCCUCCUCACAAUGAUUAGAUUAGUACAUUUUGCAUUUGGGGAUGAUUAUUUAAAUUUAACAGAAGACAAUUUACAAAGACAGUACUAUAACAAUACAAUGAACAGGAAAAUGAAGAAAGAGUAUGACUCCUGAGUAAGACCCUUUUGCCUGAACAUGAGAUGGUUCCCUAAAUCGCCCUAUACAUGAGGCUGCUGUUUAUUUCCUUCCAUGAUUUGCUUUACAAUAUGUUAAUGAUAAAUUCUGUUAGUGUACAAUACAUUGUAUUGCUUCUGGUUUGAAAUAUUCCUAAUUCUUUUGUAAUGUUUUUAAGAUGAUAUCAAAACAUUAGAAGCAUUCAUUUUGGAUUUUAUCAUUGGCUCUUAUGGAUCAAAUAUUAUAAUUUUUAUUUAAAUCACCAUUUAAUCAUGGCAUAUGAUUACUUAUGUGUUCUUUUGUUGGUAAUACAAAAAUCCAAAGUCUAUAAAAAUCAAAUUCUGUAGUUGACAUUUCUCAUGCAGCCUGUUUUUGAAACGGAAGUGUUACAUAUCAGUGAUUUUAAAACUCUUUACAUGUUUAUUCACUAAAUACAUUGACUUGCUUUUAAAUUCAGAAUUAUCUACUUCCUUAAAUCUGUAUACACUUUGUGUAAUAAAUUAAAAUCUAAGUACAAAUAUGUUCCUCUGUUUUUGUAUAUUCCACGUCUGUCUCUUUCAGUAUAUGCUGUGACUAUCAUUUGUAUGAAAGUCAAAAAUGAUCAGAAUGAGAAUGAUUUAGGAAGAUGCAGUUCUGAAAAUUCCAAAAAGAGUAUCUUCUUCAAAUGUUACAGAAGAGGAGUUUUUAAACUUCAGGAUUUGUUUGUAUGCAGAAGUUAGUAUUUCAAGUGCCAGUCAUGGAUGUAAACCAGCUUAAAUCAGAGAAGCCCACCAGCUCCUAAAGUGGUUUGGAAGCAACAAAUUAGGAAGCGAAUGGUUGAGUCAUGGCUAGAGGCAUCUGGAAGCAGCAGGAAGUAGCAGAGGAACCUCCGUCACAGGUUGGAGGCAAUUCCUCAUCAGGACCCAAGACUCUACAUAGACGUUUAAGAGGAAUAAUUCCUUAUACAAUUUUCACCCCUACGCUUAAUGGCCUGUGAUCACUUUACCAUGCUGAUGUGUAGUAUGAGGCAAUAAACUAAUUGAACUCCCUUCUCA